GCGCGUGUGGCGAAAUUGGUAGACGCAGCAGAUUUAGGUUCUGCCACCUAGGUGUGGAGGUUCGAGUCCUCUCACGCGCACCA
Molecule: transfer RNA, 83 nt
Filed under: Devosia neptuniae
Lineage: Bacteria; Pseudomonadati; Pseudomonadota; Alphaproteobacteria; Hyphomicrobiales; Devosiaceae
Description: tRNA-Leu
Rfam family: tRNA
About the family: Transfer RNA (tRNA) molecules are approximately 80 nucleotides in length. Their secondary structure includes four short double-helical elements and three loops (D, anti-codon, and T loops).
Source: RNAcentral